Long non-coding RNA from Dreissena polymorpha, 1204 nucleotides. RefSeq lists it as uncharacterized. The transcript is spliced from 3 exons. Lineage: Eukaryota; Metazoa; Mollusca; Bivalvia; Myida; Dreissenidae. The record is from RefSeq and is a predicted model, not a curated record.
UUUGAUUAUCACCGGGGAUGAACAACUUUUGUCACGUGACCGCAAAAGUCAACGCCGGUUGCAGAAACAGAUUGUAAUCUUGUACAUUAAGAAACAUGACGCUCGUGUGUGAAAUCUGUGGAAAGACAUUUAAAUCGAAGUGGGGGUUAAAGCUUCAUGAUAAGCGCCACAGAGGGACUGGACGAUUCGCCUGUUGUGGAAAAACAUUUUACACAAAACAGGCGUUCAACAGACACAGAUGCAGCAUUCAUGGUGUUGAAAAGCCGUUCCCCUGUGAACAAUGCGGCAAAAAGAUUUCAACCAAAGAUGACCUGAAUCGUCACGUCCGGAGGGAGGUUGCUGCAAAGCAAUUUACCUGCUCAAUUUGCAAUGCAACGCUCCGGGAGAAAAUUGACCUUCAGGCCCACCUUGCCACCCACAAUGGAGAGAAAAACUUUGCUUGUGAUAUGUGUGAAAAGAGGUACAGGCACCGCAGUAGUCUAUCAAAGCACAGAUCUGCAAAGCACCGGGCCUAGUCAUCUGUUGCAUGACGAUGAUAAGACCAAGAAUUAUUUUUAAUUCUUACCAAUGUGCCGUGGUUAUUUUCUUAAUUAUUGAAAAUACAGACUGUCAUACAAUAAUAUAUAGUAUUACGCGUGUUUUUGCGUCUUAAACAUUGUGUUUCAUAUCGUUUAUCUUGUGUUGUUUUGUUUGAUAUUCCUGUUUUUAAUAAGAUUAUUGUUGUAAUAUUUAUCAUUCUAAUUUAAAAUGAUUAUGAUAAUGGUUGAUCUCAUACAAAUUAUUGUGUUCAUUAUUGCUCAUCUGUGAUUACUGUUGAUCUCAGCCCAUGAAUUGUGAUUUAUAUUGAUUAUCUGUGAUUAUUGUUGAUCUUAUCAAAAUAAUUGUAAUUUAUGUUGAUUAUCUGUGAAUUUUUUAUCUUAACCUAUUAAUAGUGAUUUAUAUUAUCUGUGAUUAUUGUUGAUCUUAUCAAAAUCAUUGUGAUUUAUGUUGAUUAUCUGUGAUUAUUGUUGAUCUCAACCGAUUAAUUGUGAUUUAUAUAACCAGUGAUUAUUGUUGAUCUUUUCAAAAUCAUUGUAAUUUAUGUUGAUUAUCUGUGAUUAUUGUUGAUCUUUUCGAAAUCAUUGUAAUUUAUGUUGAUUAUCUGUGAUUAUUGUUGAUCUUUUCAAAAUCAUUGUAAUCUAUGUUGAUUAUCUGUGAUUAUUGU